Priapulus caudatus is the source of this 539-nucleotide long non-coding RNA. RefSeq lists it as uncharacterized. Lineage: Eukaryota; Metazoa; Priapulida; Priapulimorpha; Priapulimorphida; Priapulidae. The record is from RefSeq and is a predicted model, not a curated record. The transcript is spliced from 3 exons.
AAUAGCAAUGCCCAAAAUUUUCACACAGAGGAUCAAGAUGUAGGGGGAGAUCGGAUCUCCUUGUCGUCAACCUCUACCUAAUUUGAAAAUUUUUGAAAAAUAGCUAUUUUGAAUAACGCAGGCUUCAGAACCAUAUUGGAAGAUGUGAAUCCCUUGGACUCGGAGAAGUUAAUGUGGAGCUGAGGUCGCAUGAUUGUAUGAUUGCCAGUCGUUGCAACUACCACCCAAGGAGGCCUAUAGGAAUCGAUAUAUCGGCACGCAGCGUAAUUACCGGCAUAAAGAUACACUGCGAAUUCAAGAAUGAUGCUUGGGAAAGCGGACGACUGAGAGAGGAACCUGCAUCGGGGAGGAAAGUGAGAGAGGAAUUUGCAUCGGGGAGGAAAGUGGGACAGGAAACUGCAUCGGGGAGUAAAGUGAGAGAAGAACCUGCAUCGGGGAGCAAUCGUGAUCUCGAUCACCGCCCGCUCGAUGGAACCUUCUCCUCUUUCUUCUGCUUCUUCUCGUCCUCCUUCUCUUUCUCCUGCUCCUUCUCUUCCUCG